AACGACCCUGGAAUUAAAAUUGUCAAAAUAAAGGGUUCACGUGUAACGGGGACACCCCUAUGGAUUCCCAUGGAUACUAGUAAGCUGGUGAAAUGAGAAACGGUGAUGAUUAAUUAUUGUUAAUGAAUAUGAAUUUAUGAUAUGUUCUAUGUUACUGAUUGUGCAUGAAGUUAUGAUCUGUAUGAUGUUAUUGUCUUUAUAGGUUGUUUUCACAGGUUCUCCAAUGGUAAGAAAAAGGGAAAGUGGUUUUAAUUUUAAUGAAUGUAUUGGUUUAAAAUUUGUGCUCCAUUG
RNAcentral lists this long non-coding RNA (291 nucleotides) under Carica papaya (papaya). Its description in RNAcentral is "long non-coding RNA (CPAP_LNC003946)". Lineage: Eukaryota; Viridiplantae; Streptophyta; Magnoliopsida; Brassicales; Caricaceae. The record is from RNAcentral.